This 429-nucleotide ribosomal RNA is filed under the name Bacillota bacterium. RNAcentral describes it as "Firmicutes bacterium partial 16S ribosomal RNA". It matches the Rfam family "Bacterial small subunit ribosomal RNA", at positions 355 to 776 of the family's 1533-position model. Lineage: Bacteria; Bacillati; Bacillota. The record is from RNAcentral.
UAGGGAAUCUUCGGCAAUGGACGGAAGUCUGCCCGAGCAACGACGCGUGAGUGAAGAAGUUAUUCGGUUCGUAUAGCUCUGUUGUUCGAGAAGAACGUUGGUAGGAGUGGAAAAUCUACCAAGUGACGGUAACUAACCAGAAAGGGACGGCUAACUACGUGCCAGCAGCCGCGGUAAUACGUAGGUCCCGAGCGUUGUCCGGAUUUAUUGGGCGUAAAGCGAGCGCAGGCGGUUCUUUAAGUCUGAAGUUAAAGGCAGUGGCUUAACCAUUGUACGCUUUGGAAACUGGAGGACUUGAGUGCAGAAUGGGAGAGUGGAAUUCCAUGUGUAGCGGUGAAAUGCGUAGAUAUAUUGAGGAAGACCGGUGGCGAAAGCGGCUCUCUGGUCUGUAACUGACGCUGAGGCUCGAAAGCGUGGGGAGCAAACGGG